RNAcentral lists this ribosomal RNA (509 nucleotides) under uncultured bacterium. RNAcentral describes it as "bacterial SSU rRNA". It matches the Rfam family "Bacterial small subunit ribosomal RNA", at positions 28 to 527 of the family's 1533-position model. The record is from RNAcentral.
GACUAACGCUGGCGGCGUGCCUAACACAUGCAAGUCGAACGCAUCUGUGCUUCGGUACAGAUGAGUGGCGAACGGGUGAGUAACACGUGAGUAACUCCCCUGGGGAAGGGGGAUAACCAUCUGAAAAGGUGGCUAAUACCCCAUAUUCUUUUUUCUCAUAAGAGGAAAGAGGAAAGAUGGCGUAAGCUAUCACCCCGAGAGAGGCUCGCGUCCCAUCAGCUAGUUGGUAAGGUAAGAGCUUACCAAGGCUAUGACGGGUAGCUGGUCUGAGAGGAUGGUCAGCCACACUGGGACUGAGACACGGCCCAGACUCCUACGGGAGGCAGCAGUGAGGAAUCUUGGGCAAUGGGCGAAAGCCUGACCCAGCGACGCCGCGUGGAGGAAGAAGGCCUUCGGUCGUAAACUCCUGUUCGGGAGAAGAACAGGAGGGAAGUGAAUAACUUCUCUCCCUGACGGUAUCCUCGGAGAAAGCUCCGGCUAAUUACGUGCCAGCAGCCGCGGUAAACACG